CAUACUGGUUCUCUUACAAUCACCAAAGUUAAGCAAUGUUGAGUCUGGUCAGUACCUAGAUGAGUGAUCCGUUGGGAAUACCAGGUGCUGUAA
This is a non-coding RNA of Acanthosepion pharaonis, 93 nucleotides long. The record is from the annotation of a GenBank genome assembly. Lineage: Eukaryota; Metazoa; Mollusca; Cephalopoda; Sepiida; Sepiidae.